This 481-nucleotide ribosomal RNA is filed under the name uncultured bacterium. RNAcentral describes it as "partial 16S ribosomal RNA". It matches the Rfam family "Bacterial small subunit ribosomal RNA", at positions 28 to 523 of the family's 1533-position model. The record is from RNAcentral.
GACGAAUGCUGGCUGCGUGCUUAACACAUGCAAGUCGAACGGUGAAGGAGGGCUUGCCCUCCGGAUCAGUGGCGAACGGGUGAGUAACACGUGGGCAACCUGCCCCUCACUCUGGGAUGACGCCGGGAAACCGGCGCUAAUACCGGAUACGACCAGGCACGACAUCUCGCCUGGUGGAAAGAAUUUCGGUGAGGGAUGGGCCCGCGGCCUAUCAGCUUGUUGGUGGGGUAACGGCCCACCAAGGCGACGACGGGUAGCCGGCCUGAGAGGGCGACCGGCCACACUGGGACUGAGACACGGCCCAGACUCCUACGGGAGGCAGCAGUGGGGAAUAUUGCGCAAUGGGCGAAAGCCUGACGCAGCGACGCAGCGUGAGGGACGAAGGCCUUCGGGUUGUAAACCUCUUUCAGCGGGGACGAAGCGAAAGUGACGGUACCCGCAGAAGAAGCACCGGCUAACUACGUGCCAGCCGCCGCAGUAA